Molecule: ribosomal RNA, 253 nt
Filed under: uncultured bacterium
Lineage: Bacteria
Description: partial 16S ribosomal RNA
Rfam family: Bacterial small subunit ribosomal RNA
Source: RNAcentral
UACGUAGGGUGCAAGCGUUGUCCGGAAUUAUUGGGCGUAAAGAGCUCGUAGGCGGUCUGUCGCGUCGGCUGUGAAAACCCGGGGCUCAACCCCGGGCCUGCAGUCGAUACGGGCAGACUAGAGUGCGGUAGGGGAGACUGGAAUUCCUGGUGUAGCGGUGAAAUUCGUAGAUAUCGGGAGGAACACCAGUGGCGAAGGCGGCGACCUGGACGGACAUUGACGCUGAGACGCGAAAGCGUGGGGAGCAAACAGG